This 688-nucleotide long non-coding RNA is filed under the name Homo sapiens (human). RNAcentral describes it as "HSALNT0168986". Lineage: Eukaryota; Metazoa; Chordata; Mammalia; Primates; Hominidae. The record is from RNAcentral.
GCCAGGGCAGGCCGACCAUUUGAGGUCAGGAGUUUGAGGCCAGCCUGGCCAACAUGGCGAAACCCCGUCUCUACUAAAAAUACUAAAAUUAGCCGUGCAUGGUGGUGGGCGCCUGUAAUCCCAGCUACUCAGGAGACUGAGGCACGAGAAUCGCUUGAGCUCGCAAGGUGGAGGUUGCAGUAAACCGAGAUCGCGCCAUUGCACUCCAACUUGGGUGACAGAGUGAGACUCCGUCUCAAAAAAAAAAAAAAAAAAGAAAAAUUCUGCAAUAACUUGGGUGGAGGCAAAACACUAAUAAAAGGGCUAAAAAGGAAAAUGAUGCUUUUCUUCUAUAUUCUUACUCUGUACAAAUAAAGAAGUUGCUUGUUGUUUGAGAAGUUUAACCCCGUUGCUUGUUGUUCUGCAGCCCUGUCUACUUGGGCACCCCCACCACCUGUUAGCUGUGGUUGUGCACUGUCUUUUGUAGCUCUGGACUGGAGGGGUAGAUGGGGAGUCAAUUACCCAUCACAUAAAUAUGAAACAUUUAUCAGAAAUGUUGCCAUUUUAAUGAGAUGAUUUUCUUCAUCUCAUAAUUAAAAUACCUGACUUUAGAGAGAGUAAAAUGUGCCAGGAGCCAUAGGAAUAUCUGUAUGUUGGAUGACUUUAAUGCUACAUUUUAAAAAAAGAAAAUAAAGUAAUAAUAUAACUC